Molecule: ribosomal RNA, 247 nt
Filed under: uncultured bacterium
Lineage: Bacteria
Description: partial 16S ribosomal RNA
Rfam family: Bacterial small subunit ribosomal RNA
Source: RNAcentral
GAUCAUGGCUCAGGAUGAACGCUAGCGACAGGCUUAACACAUGCAAGUCGAGGGGCAGCGCGGUGGUGGCAACACCACCGGCGGCGACCGGCGCACGGGUGAGUAACACGUAUGCAACCUGCCCUCCACAGGGGGAUAAUCGGGAGAAAUCCCGUCUAAUACCGCAUAACGCCAACCGGGGGCAUCCCCGGUUGGCCAAAGGAGCGAUCCGGUGGGGGCUGGGCAUGCGCCGCAUUAGCCAGUUGGG